CAGAAAAUAGUUUAGUUUAGAAUACCACCUUUGGGAGGUGGCGGUGGAGGUUAAAAUCUUUCUUUUCUGG
This 70-nucleotide transfer RNA is filed under the name Megalamphodus megalopterus (black phantom tetra). RNAcentral's name for it is "Hyphessobrycon megalopterus (black phantom tetra) tRNA-Pro". It matches the Rfam family "tRNA". Rfam says of the family: Transfer RNA (tRNA) molecules are approximately 80 nucleotides in length. Their secondary structure includes four short double-helical elements and three loops (D, anti-codon, and T loops). The record is from RNAcentral. Lineage: Eukaryota; Metazoa; Chordata; Actinopteri; Characiformes; Acestrorhamphidae.